AAAAAUACCUCUUCUCUCUACCAUGAUCAUUAAGAUGGUUUUCCCAGAGUGAAGCUUAUCCAUUGCUCUCUGGAUGUGCUGACCCCUGCGAUUUCCCCAAAUGUGGGAAACUCAACUGCAUAAUUUGUGGACGUGAGGAAUCAUGUUCACGCUCUCUGA
Molecule: small nuclear RNA, 159 nt
Organism: Sorex araneus (European shrew)
Lineage: Eukaryota; Metazoa; Chordata; Mammalia; Eulipotyphla; Soricidae
Gene: U1
Rfam family: U1 spliceosomal RNA
About the family: U1 is a small nuclear RNA (snRNA) component of the spliceosome (involved in pre-mRNA splicing). Its 5' end forms complementary base pairs with the 5' splice junction, thus defining the 5' donor site of an intron.
Source: Ensembl